CGUAGGAGGCGAGCGUUAUCCGGAUUCACUGGGCGUAAAGCGCGUGCAGGUGGCGCGGUAAGUUGGGCGUGAAAUCUCCCGGCUCAACUGGGAGAGGUCGUCCAAUACUACCGUGCUUGAGAGCAGAAGAGGAAGAUGGAAUUCCCGGUGUAGUGGUGAAAUGCGUAGAUAUCGGGAGGAACACCAGUGGCGAAGGCGAUCUUCUGGUCUGUUUCUGACACUCAGACGCGACAGCUAGGGUAGUAAACGGGAUUAGAGACCCCGGUAAUCCUAGCCGUAAACGAUGUGAACUUGGCGUUGGUGGGUUAAACUCCAUCAGUGCCGUAGCAAACGCGAUAAGUUCACCGCCUGGGGACUACGGCCGCAAGGUUA
RNAcentral lists this ribosomal RNA (372 nucleotides) under uncultured organism. Its description in RNAcentral is "bacterial SSU rRNA". It matches the Rfam family "Bacterial small subunit ribosomal RNA", at positions 526 to 896 of the family's 1533-position model. The record is from RNAcentral.